This 101-nucleotide non-coding RNA is filed under the name Pontibacillus halophilus. RNAcentral describes it as "TPP sequence". It matches the Rfam family "TPP riboswitch aptamer (THI element)". Rfam says of the family: Vitamin B(1) in its active form thiamin pyrophosphate (TPP) is an essential coenzyme that is synthesised by coupling of pyrimidine and thiazole moieties in bacteria. RNAcentral also lists the same sequence under 1 other name. Lineage: Bacteria; Bacillati; Bacillota; Bacilli; Caryophanales; Bacillaceae. The record is from RNAcentral.
CAAGACCACAAGGGGAGUCAAUUGGCUGAGAGUGGAUGAAGAGUCCUGACCCUUAUGACCGGUUAGUUCAUGCUAACGUCGGGAUGUGGCUGUUCAUGGAU